This 492-nucleotide ribosomal RNA is filed under the name uncultured bacterium. Its description in RNAcentral is "partial 16S ribosomal RNA". It matches the Rfam family "Bacterial small subunit ribosomal RNA", at positions 29 to 507 of the family's 1533-position model. The record is from RNAcentral.
AGUGAACGCUGGCGGCAUGCCUAACACAUGCAAGUCGAACGGCAGCACAGUAAGAGCUUGCUCUUACGGGUGGCGACUGGCGGGUGGGUGAGGAAUACAUCGCCAUCUACUUUUUCGUGGGGGAUAACGUAGGGAAAUUUUCGCUAAUACCGCAUACGACCUACGGGUGAAAGCAGGGGAUCUUCGGACCUUUCGCGUUUGAUUGAGCCGAUGUCGGAUUAGCUAGUUGGGAGGGUAAAGGCCCACCAAGGCGACGAACCGUAGCUGGUCUGAGAGGAUGAUCGGCCACACUGGAACUGAGACACGGUCCAGACGCCUAAGGGAGGCAGCAGUGGGGAAUGUUGGGCAAUGGGCGGAAGCCUGACCGAGCAAUACAGCGUGGGUGAAGAAGGCCUUCGGGUAGUAAAGCCCGUUUGUUGGGGAAGAAAAGCUGUAGGUUAAGAAGCGGCGGUAGUGACGGUACCUAAAGAAUAAGCACCGGCUAACUACGUG